CUUGGCGAGAGAGUCAUGUAGGGAUGGUAGCCAGCAAAGUUUGUUCCAGUUCGUCAGCAAGAACGACCACACCUUCCUGGCCACGACGCAACCAAGCAAAAGAUGGUCGAUGGUCUCUUGCUCCUGGUCACACAAAGGGCAUUGUGCCGGAUGAGGCAAAUCUCGCUUGGCGAGUCUAUCGGCCGUCCAACACCUAUUCCUCAGGGCCAACCACAUGAAUGCCUUGCACUUCGUUGGCGCCUUGGACAGCCAAAUCACCGUAGCCCCAGCUGAGAGCACACGGCCUCGAAAGAAUGCUGCAUGCGUCGAGGAGGCCGUGUAACUCCGAUUGCCGCUCCACUUCCAGCGAAAGGCAUCAUCAUCCUCCGAAAGUGUCACCCCAGCAACGAGAUUGUAAAUCGCAAGUAUAUCCACCUAUGCCUGGAGUGAGAGCUCAGGUUGGAUAGCCCGGAGCCAUCCAAAGCUUCGGCCACCGAGAGCCGCGAUGCCCUACUAGAAAUCUCCGAGAGCAGCGUUGGCGCCAAAUCCGCAAGCGAACGCCCAUCUGUAAGCCACGGAUCAUGCCAGAAUUGUAAUGUAACAUUCCAAAAUUUCAAACUUUUACAUGUGCAUUGCAUCCAUGAGCAUCAUGCCACAAUUGCAUGUUUGAAUUCAAACUUUGAAUCACAAAAGGCUUUAAGAGAUUUUGUUUACAUCCCUGUAACCUUUGGAUUUUCAAACCAAUAGGGUUGAUGUAUAAAAAGGGUUUAGUGCAUAUAUAAACUAUCCCAUAAUUCUUGGAUAAUUAUUUGGAGUUGAAAAGGUAUUUUAUUUAAACGGAUAUAUGGCCCUAAAGGCAUUUAUAGGGCAAAUGUAUAUUUACAUAUUUUAUUUUGAGGAGAAACUACUUCCAAAAGUUGUAUCAUGGUAGAACAUGAUUUUACAAAUUUUCUGGAUUUUAUUUGGGCCAAUUUGGAGUUCAAAAUCAAAAGUUAUCAAAGGAUUGAGAAAACAAAAGAAAAAAAAAGAAAAGAAAAGAAGAAAACCGGACCGAACCGGCCCAGCCCG
This 1047-nucleotide long non-coding RNA is filed under the name Brachypodium distachyon (stiff brome). RNAcentral's name for it is "long non-coding RNA (BDIS_LNC005774)". Lineage: Eukaryota; Viridiplantae; Streptophyta; Magnoliopsida; Poales; Poaceae. The record is from RNAcentral.